GUGGGGAAUUUUGGACAAUGGGCGAAAGCCUGAUCCAGCAAUGCCGCGUGCAGGAUGAAGGCCCUCGGGUUGUAAACUGCUUUUGUACGGAACGAAAAGCCUGGGGCUAAUAUCCCCGGGUCAUGACGGUACCGUAGGAAUAAGCACCGGCUAACUACGUGCCAGCAGCCGCGGUAAUACGGAGGGUGCAAGCGUUAAUCGGAAUUACUGGGCGUAACGCGUGCGCAGGCGGUUUUGUAAGACGAUGGUGAAAUCCCCGGGCUGAACCUGGGAACUGCCAUGGUGACUGCAAGGCUAGAGUGCGGCAGAGGUGGAUGGAAUUCCGCGUGUAGCAGUGAAAUGCGUAGAUAUGCGGAGGAACACCGAUGGCGAAGGCAAUCCCCUGGGCCUGCACUGACGCUCAUGCACGAAAGCGUGGGGAGCAAACAGGAUUAGAUACCCGGGUAGUCC
RNAcentral lists this ribosomal RNA (450 nucleotides) under uncultured bacterium. RNAcentral describes it as "partial 16S ribosomal RNA". It matches the Rfam family "Bacterial small subunit ribosomal RNA", at positions 354 to 796 of the family's 1533-position model. The record is from RNAcentral.